Molecule: ribosomal RNA, 397 nt
Filed under: uncultured bacterium
Lineage: Bacteria
Description: partial 16S ribosomal RNA
Rfam family: Bacterial small subunit ribosomal RNA
Source: RNAcentral
AUACGUAGGGGGCGAGCGUUGUCCGGAAUGGUUGGGCGUAAAGGGCGCGUAGGCGGCCCGGUAAGUCUGGAGUGAAAGUCCUGUUUUUAAGAUGGGAAUUGCUUUGGAUACUGUCGGGCUUGAGUGCAGGAGAGGUAAGUGGAAUUCCCAGUGUAGCGGUGAAAUGCGUAGAGAUUGGGAGGAACACCAGUGGCGAAGGCGACUUACUGGACUGUAACUGACGCUGAGGCGCGAAAGUGUGGGGAGCAAACAGGAUUAGAUACCCUGGUAGUCCACACCGUAAACGAUGAAUGCUAGGUGUAGGGGGUAUCGACCCCUUCUGUGCCGCAGGCAACACAAUAAGCAUUCCGCCUGGGGAGUACGGCCGCAAGGUUGAAACUCAAAGGAAUUGACGGGG